This 265-nucleotide ribosomal RNA is filed under the name uncultured bacterium. Its description in RNAcentral is "partial 16S ribosomal RNA". It matches the Rfam family "Bacterial small subunit ribosomal RNA", at positions 524 to 788 of the family's 1533-position model. The record is from RNAcentral.
GACGGAGGAUGCAAGUGUUAUCCGGAAUCACUGGGCGUAAAGCGUCUGUAGGUGGUUUAAUAAGUCAACUGUUAAAUCUUGAGGCUCAACCUCAAAAUCGCAGUCGAAACUAUUAGGCUAGAGUAUAGUAGGGGUAAGGGAAUUUCCAGUGGAGCGGUGAAAUGCGUAGAGAUUGGAAAGAACACCGAUGGCGAAGGCACUUUACUGGGCUAUUACUAACACUCAGAGACGAAAGCUAGGGGAGACGAAUGGGAUUAGGAAACCC